Molecule: transfer RNA, 75 nt
Filed under: Syntrophobacteraceae bacterium CG2_30_61_12
Lineage: Bacteria; Pseudomonadati; Thermodesulfobacteriota; Syntrophobacteria; Syntrophobacterales; Syntrophobacteraceae
Also listed under: 1 other name
Description: tRNA-Gln
Rfam family: tRNA
About the family: Transfer RNA (tRNA) molecules are approximately 80 nucleotides in length. Their secondary structure includes four short double-helical elements and three loops (D, anti-codon, and T loops).
Source: RNAcentral
UGGGGUGUCGCCAAGUGGUAAGGCACGGGUCUUUGGCACCCGCAUACGGAGGUUCGAAUCCUCCCACCCCAGCCA